Molecule: ribosomal RNA, 347 nt
Filed under: uncultured Anaerolineaceae bacterium
Lineage: Bacteria; Bacillati; Chloroflexota; Anaerolineae; Anaerolineales; Anaerolineaceae
Description: bacterial SSU rRNA
Rfam family: Bacterial small subunit ribosomal RNA
Source: RNAcentral
CGGGAGCUUGUACAGGUGCUGCAUGGCUGUCGUCAGCUCGUGUCGUGAGAUGUUCGGUUAAGUCCGCUAACGAGCGCAACCCUCGCUGUGUGUUACAAGUGUCACACGGAACUGCCGGUCAUAAACCGGAGGAAGGUGGGGAUGACGUCAAGUCAGCAUGGCCUUUAUAUCCUGGGCUACACACACGCUACAAUGGGAAGGGACAAUAGGUUGCGAAGCCGCGAGGCGGAGCCAAUCCAGCAAAACUUCCCUCAGUUCAGAUUGCAGGCUGCAACUCGCCUGCAUGAAGUUGGAGUUGCUAGUAAACGCAGGUCAGCCAUACUGCGUUGAAUACGUUCCCGGGGCUU